This 714-nucleotide ribosomal RNA is filed under the name uncultured bacterium. RNAcentral's name for it is "bacterial SSU rRNA". It matches the Rfam family "Bacterial small subunit ribosomal RNA", at positions 65 to 778 of the family's 1533-position model. The record is from RNAcentral.
AGGGGUAACAGGGAGCUUGCUCUGCUGACGACCGGCGCACGGGUGCGUAACGCGUAUACAAUCUGCCCCUUACUAAGGAAUAGCCCAGGGAAACUUGGAUUAAUGCCUUAUAGUAUCGAGAUAUGGCAUCAUAUUUUGAUUAAAGGUUACGGUAAGGGAUGAGUAUGCGUCCUAUUAGCUUGUUGGUGUGGUAACGGCACACCAAGGCAACGAUAGGUAGGGGCCCUGAGAGGGGGAUCCCCCACACUGGUACUGAGACACGGACCAGACUCCUACGGGAGGCAGCAGUGAGGAAUAUUGGACAAUGGGCGAGAGCCUGAUCCAGCCAUGCCGCGUGCAGGAAGACUGCCCUAUGGGUUGUAAACUGCUUUUGUACGGGAAGAAACGCCCCCACGUGUGGGGGUUUGACGGUACCGUAAGAAUAAGCAUCGGCUAACUCCGUGCCAGCAGCCGCGGUAAUACGGAGGAUGCAAGCGUUAUCCGGAAUCAUUGGGUUUAAAGGGUCCGUAGGCGGAUAAUUAAGUCAGGGGUGAAAGUCUGCAGCUCAACUGCAGGACUGCCCUUGAUACUGGUUAUCUUGAAUCGUUGUGAAGUGGCUAGAAUAUGUAGUGUAGCGGUGAAAUGCAUAGAUAUUACAUAGAAUACCGAUUGCGAAGGCAGGUCACUAACAACGUAUUGACGCUAAGGGACGAAAGCGUGGGGAGCGAACAGGAU